Molecule: long non-coding RNA, 572 nt
Organism: Bos taurus (domestic cattle)
Lineage: Eukaryota; Metazoa; Chordata; Mammalia; Artiodactyla; Bovidae
Source: Ensembl
CCGGUUACCUUGGCGACCACCACCUUUUCCGAGCCCAGCCCCUCUCUGAAGGCGGCGUGCUGCCAAAUGAGGAGACAGGUCUGCAGCUGCUCGGGCAUCGCCAUCCCAGCCCUGCACUUUCUGUCCCGUUGCCCCUUCUGGCCCUCAUUCCGAAGAGCCACCCUGAACAUGUGGUCCUGAUUUACAACUAAGCAAAUUGAAGACGGGGAUUGGGCUUAGACUAGCCCACCUAGCAGGUUUGAAAUCAAAGAGACCAUCCUUCCUUGAGGUGGCCAGGAAGAGGGACAGAACCACGUGAGGAGGUGUUCUGAACAGGGGACAGAAGGACUAUGGGUCUGAAAUUGGUGUCUCAUGGAGGAAGGAGGCCCAGUGACUCAGUGUCUGCCUGAAGCCCACAGUGGGAGCAGCAAGACUCUGGAGACGUGCCACAGUUACUGUGAGCAGAGGCUGUACUUCCAGCUGGGGAUACACAGAAAACAAGCCUGACAUUCCACCCUCAUGGAGCAGUUGGAAAACCAGGGCACAGAGGAUGGCCAGGGCUCCUUAGCCCAGAGUGAACAUGCUGCACCAGG